CUUUUAGGGGUUGAGUCUGGAAUUGAAUGAGAGUGAGGUAUACCACAUGAAUACCAUGGAAGAAUUAUAGGCUUUGAAUUUAUAAAAUGUGUUUAUAGAAUGGUGACCUCUGAUUCCAAGUGUUGAGUUUGUGUUCUGGUUUUAGUUACAAAUAGAGUAAGCCACAAACUUCAGAAGUGGAUCUGGGUUUGGCUUUCAAACAUGAACACAUACAAGAUCUGGGAUUCUGGUUCACAUCCAUCACUGCUGUUAAUUUUGCUUUCAAUUGUGGGUUCUGUUUCUCUAAAAACCUCUCAUCCAGUUUUAGCCGUCAAUGUAGCAUAUUAAAUAUAUCUUUGC
Long non-coding RNA from Chelonia mydas (Green sea turtle), 339 nucleotides. RefSeq lists it as uncharacterized. The record is from RefSeq and is a predicted model, not a curated record. The transcript has 3 exons. Lineage: Eukaryota; Metazoa; Chordata; Testudines; Cheloniidae.